CCUACGGGGGGCAGCAGUGGGGAAUAUUGCGCAAUGGGCGAAAGCCUGACGCAGCGACGCCGCGUGAGGGAUGAAGGUCUUCGGAUCGUAAACCUCUGUCAGCAGGGAAGAACGGUCACUGUGCUAAUCAGCAGUGAAUUGACGGUACCUGCAAAGGAAGCACCGGCUAACUCCGUGCCAGCAGCCGCGGUAAUACGGAGGGUGUGAGCGUUAAUCGGAAUUACUGGGCGUAAAGCGCUCGUAGGCGGUAUGUCAAGUCAAGGGUGAAAUCCCCGCGCUCAACGUGGGAACUGCCUUUGAAACUGGCAAACUGGAGUGUGUGAGAGGAUAGUGGAAUUCCAGGUGUAGGAGUGAAAUGCGUAGAGAUCAGGAGGAACAUCAGUGGCGAAGGCGACUAUCUGGCACAUAACUGACGCUGAGGAGCGAAAGCGUGGGUAGCAAACAGGAUUAGAUACCCUAGUAGUC
Molecule: ribosomal RNA, 465 nt
Filed under: uncultured bacterium
Lineage: Bacteria
Description: partial 16S ribosomal RNA
Rfam family: Bacterial small subunit ribosomal RNA
Source: RNAcentral